This 435-nucleotide ribosomal RNA is filed under the name uncultured bacterium. RNAcentral describes it as "bacterial SSU rRNA". It matches the Rfam family "Bacterial small subunit ribosomal RNA", at positions 335 to 759 of the family's 1533-position model. The record is from RNAcentral.
ACUCCUACGGGAGGCAGCAGUGGGGAAUAUUGCACAAUGGGCGCAAGCCUGAUGCAGCCAUGCCGCGUGUGUGAAGAAGGCCUUCGGGUUGUAAAGCACUUUCAGUUGUGAGGAAGGUGGUGUCGUUAAUAGCGGCAUCAUUUGACGUUAGCAACAGAAGAAGCACCGGCUAACUCCGUGCCAGCAGCCGCGGUAAUACGGAGGGUGCGAGCGUUAAUCGGAAUUACUGGGCGUAAAAGCGCAUGCAGGUGGUUUGUUAAGUCAGAUGUGAAAGCCCGGGGCUCAACCUCGGAACUGCAUUUGAAACUGGCAGACUAGAGUACUGUAGAGGGGGGUAGAAUUUCAGGUGUAGCGGUGAAAUGCGUAGAGAUCUGAAGGAAUACCGGUAGGCGAAGGCGGCCCCCUGGACAGAUACUGACACUCAGAUAGCGAAAG